Molecule: long non-coding RNA, 671 nt
Organism: Pogoniulus pusillus (Red-fronted tinkerbird)
Lineage: Eukaryota; Metazoa; Chordata; Aves; Piciformes; Lybiidae
Exons: 3
Source: RefSeq, a predicted model, not a curated record
AUCCGAGCAGAGGGGAUCCAAGGUGUUGGUUUUAAGGCUGAAGAUGGAUGUUCUGAGCUGUGCUUUUUCUGGCUGCCUUGUGUCACAUAAAUCAAAUGGCUACCAUGAAAGGGAACCUCUCAUCCCAGACCUCUGUGCCUGGUGGCUUUGCUUUUCUGAGGCAUUCUGUGACAGCAGGUGAACAACUGUGUGCCAAAAGGCCAGCGUGUGAUGGAGAGACCUCAGAGCCAGCACAGCAGCUGCACAGGAGCGAGAGGGGCUGGGAUUUUGUCAGGUGUUUUGUUGUGGGGGAAAAGUGAAGAGCGAGAGUCUGGAUGCAAAGCACAGGCCCUUGGCCAGCACAGCUGCAGUACAGCACAUGCAGGAGCACCUGGGGAGGAGAGAGAAGCCAUCCCUGCGUUCCUGCAGAUGUGGCUUGCUGUGGGCAGGAGCUCAGAAGAGUGGAGUGGAUCGAUAGUGAAGAGCUGUUCCCCAAAGGGCAGAGCUGUGAAGUCUGAACAUCCCCCGCAGCAGCACUGGCUUUUCACUGCUGGAGUGCUGAGUCCAGACCGACCUUCCUGGAAGGUACUGCAGGCUCCAGUAGGACUGAAUGCUUCUCUGUAGCCUUUCCUCAGCCCCUUGCCCAACAGAAUAAAGAGUUACUGAUGAGGACAUUCCACUGGAACGGCUAA